AACGAACGCUGGCGGCGUGCCUAACACAUGCAAGUCGAACGAGAAAGGGGCUUCGGCCCUGAGUAAAGUGGCGCACGGGUGAGUAACACGUAGGUAACCUGCCUCUAGGAUUGGGAUAACAUGUCGAAAGACGUGCUAAUACCGAAUAAGACCAUAGUUUCUUCGGAAGCAGGGGUCAAAGGUAGCCUCUAUUUAUAAGCAAUCACUUAGAGAUGGGCCUGCGUACCAUUAGCUAGUUGGUAGGGUAACGGCCUACCAAGGCAAAGAUGGUUAGCUGGUCUGAGAGGAUGAUCAGCCACACUGGAACUGAGACACGGUCCAGACUCCUACGGGAGGCAGCAGUGGGGAAUAUUGCGCAAUGGGCGAAAGCCUGACGCAGCAACGCCGCGUGAGUGAUGAAGGCCUUCGGGUCGUAAAGCUCUGUCGGAGGGAACGAAUGUUUCUGAGGUUAACAGCCUCAGGAAGUGACGGUACCCUCAAAGGAAGCACCGGCUAACUCUGUGC
Molecule: ribosomal RNA, 504 nt
Filed under: uncultured bacterium
Lineage: Bacteria
Description: bacterial SSU rRNA
Rfam family: Bacterial small subunit ribosomal RNA
Source: RNAcentral